Molecule: ribosomal RNA, 253 nt
Filed under: uncultured microorganism
Description: partial 16S ribosomal RNA
Rfam family: Bacterial small subunit ribosomal RNA
Source: RNAcentral
UACGUAGGGUGCGAGCGUUAAUCGGAUUUACUGGGCGUAAAGCGCGCGUAGGCGGUGCGGUAAGUCAGGGGUUAAAGGCUGCAGCUCAACUGCAGUAAGGCCUUUGAUACUAUCGCGCUAGAGUACCAGAGAGGAUGGCGGAAUUCCCGGUGUAGCGGUGAAAUGCGUAGAUAUCGGGAGGAAUACCGGUGGCGAAGGCGCCCCUCUGGACGGUAACUGACGCUGAGGCACGAAAGCGUGGGGAGCAAACAGG